Molecule: long non-coding RNA, 5807 nt
Filed under: Gallus gallus (chicken)
Lineage: Eukaryota; Metazoa; Chordata; Aves; Galliformes; Phasianidae
Source: RNAcentral
UGGCGGCGGAGCGAGGGGUGGGUGUUGCAGUGCGGCGGGAGAAGCUGCGCGGGGUGAUUCCCUCAGCUGAUGGCCGGGGAGUUGCAAAAAUGGACAUUAAAUGAAGCUACUCGUUGCGAUAGGUUGGGAUCACAAACAUCCCGUUACCUCAUCUCAGCUAAAGGCGUCUGUGGAAAUGCUCUGUCACUGUAAUAACGAGUGAACUCUGUGGCUUCGUUGGCUGAAGCAGUGCCUAAAGGUUUAAAACUUUCAGCCUUAUAUUUAAGUGUAUUUCUGAAGGGUUCUUCACCAGUGGUAGAAGGGCAAUGUGAGCAGCCAUGAAUAGCACAUAAAUAGAAAGCACAGGAGCUGUACCAGGACAGCAACGUUAAAACCGCCUUCAGGAGGGCUUCGCAAGAACCAGCAGAGAGGAGCAUAAGCAAUGUUGGUAACUCCAAUGAUGACCAUCAGCCAGGGAAACCCAAUAGCUCGUACGAUCGCGCCGCCUGUUGAUGGACCUGCACAUUGAAACAUGAACAAAGGCUCAGGAGGCAGGAAAAGAGCAAAAGGUGCUCUUCUACUUUGGAGGGGGUCUGAAGUCUGCAGUGGCUGUCCUACAGACUCAGUUCCAGUUGCUGCCAUUAAACACUGGGUGGAAGAACACAUUGAGAACAUCACCCCAUACCAAUUGCAAAGCCCAUGCAGAAGGCAACAUCUGCGAUGGCAUAGACAUUGCCGUAGACAGAGGUGUGGCGAAGGUCCACGAGGUAACCCAUAAUAGGCAUCAUGGAGGAGUCCACCAUUCCUGCCCAGAGCAAGCACGAUAUCAUGAGGUAUUGCCUUUUCCCAGAGCAGUGCUGGGAAUUGUACAGACUGACCACUUACCUAUGGCGAAGCCAAGCCCACCAUUUGGGCCAAUCAGCCCAUAAAUAUUUUUUGCCAGAGGUACCUUAGAGAGGAAAGAGAGAAGGUGUGAAUGAGGCCAGAAGAGCUCCAAGGUGAGGAGGCACAGCAUAGUUCUGUGAGAAAGGUCUGUGGUGCCAUCCCUGAGCAGGUCUCAGAGCUGCCCUGCAGUACUCACACAGAGCAGACUGAUCCCCACCACAGCCAUACCGAUCAGGGAGCACAGCCACCUGCAAGGAGGGCAGCAGAGGGUGAUGCCUUCAGCAUAUGCAAGCAGGAUCCUUGCUGUGGUCGCUGCUGUUCGCUUACCGGCCUAUUUUGUUAGCCAGGAGCCCGAAGAGAUUGGUUCCAAUGAGAUGAUAUAAGAGAUAUUCAGCCCAUCCCGCAGUGCCCAGCAGGAUCCACUCUGGCCAAACUGCAUCAAGCUACUGCUGAGGAGCACGGACUGCAAAGUGAAGCACCUACCAAGCUGCCAUUUGGGGGAGCACAUGGUUUGCAUCAUCCAGAUGGGCAAGGUGGGCUCGAGCAUGGCCACCCCCAUGUUGGAGAAGCAGAGGGCUCCUGGUGAGGAGAGAAGGGAAAGUGUCUGUUUAAGGCUUCUCCUACUGCUGUGUUGAGUAGGAACAAGGAAAUGGGGCAAUUGGGAACGCAGAGGUUACCUGCAGCCACCAGCACAUAGGGGUCCCGCAGCAGGGUGAGCACUGGUGUGCCUCUGGUGCUCUGCUUGAGAUGGGGGCUUAGGGAGCUGCAGGUGGGGGCUGAGCCACCCCCACCUGCAGCAUCUGCCCCAGCAUCGUGCCCAUACUCACCUCAGGGGAGACCUUGGAGGGCUGCAGAAUGCACAGCUGCAAACCUGGGGAGGGGGGGGGAACAGUGCUGUCAGUAUUGCUCCAAGCCAAAUUUCCCUGUGGCUUUUCCUUCAGGGGGGCACCAAUCAUUGGCAGAGCCCCAAGAAUGCAAAGCUGUGCUGUUGGGGCAUCAUCCAGGGAGCUGUCAGCUGCGGGAUUUCAAAUGGGGCAUGGCCAAAAUGAGACAUGGAAAAGAAUGGGAUGAAAAAAAACAAGCUUCAAACACAGGGAGCUUACAUUUCACUUUCCGGAGUCUCUUACAUGCUCCAUUAAAGAUGUCUUACAUUACAUCUAGGCAAAGAUGGUAACUGUGAAUCUAAUUUAAUUAGCUUAAUACUUUCCACUAAAAAUAUGUGUUUCUGCUAUCUGUAAUUCUGAAUGCUGUCGUGGCCUGAAUCUGUAACACAGCUACAGAGAGAGAGUAGGGAUUGCCAUUCACAGGCAACAUCCCAUUUCUUUGUAUUAUGAUGAAGAUGCUGCAGGCAGCACCACGUGUGCCUUCUACAGAGAAAUUCUGUUCAUAGAGCUUGACUGAUGUGCUACUUGAGCCAUUAAAGCAAUCAAAGGGGUCAUUAAGUAAUGAGGGACUAAUUCGUACUGUAUUGCUGUGUCACACAUCUGGUGGUGGGAAGCAUAUGGUUUAGCAAUAAGAGAGUAACUGAUGCUGUAUUAAUUGUGAGAGCCCUGAGAAGUUCUUCCUGAGGUGGCUGCAUUUUGGUCUUUCCACGUGCUUUGGUUUAUGGUUGGGUGAGUUGUUUGCUUUUGGGUUGGGUUAACUACGUGACCCCUCACCUCCAUCCAGCAGGGCUAAGAAAGCCAGGACCAGGAAGGGGGAGGCUUUCCCCACAAACUCGUACAUCACGCUGCCGAACGGGGCCCCGACUGCAAGGGAGAGGCUGUGUCACCAUGCAGCAGGCAACUGGCUUUAACCCAAACCCAUGUCUAGUGAUGGACUAUACCGGUGGAACCACGGGAAAUGGAUGGGGAGCAGAGACUGGGGUCCCCUUCCCCCCUCCCCCAGGGCUGAACCAAGGAUGCUCAGCAGCACCAAGCAGCAAAGCAUGGGGAUACUGUGGGUGUAGAGCCCCUGGCAGCCACAGGUCCUUACUCAGCACACCCAAGGCCAACCCUCCAAGGGCGAUACCCAUGGCGUUGCCUCUCUCAAAGUCGUCUGUGUAGAUGCUGGCCAGCAUGCCCAAGCCUGGGAGCAGAGAGAACCCGAGGUGAUGACUGAACCCAACUGGCAUAGGGCUUCAUGGCAUGCAGUGACCCAACAUGCUCACCUGCAACUGAUGAGAAGGAGGAACCAACACCUUGUAGAGCACGAGCGAUGAACAGCAGCAUGUAGGUGCCAGAGAAUGCAAACACUGCAGAAGGAGAAACACAGUGCCCAGCAGAGCUGCACAUCUAAAGCCCUGCUGAAGUGCAGCAGCAACCACUUGUGCCCAGCUGAGUCCUUCCCUGUCCCCUGCUUCUCAUGCAUGGGGACAGGGCAGGUGGUUGUCUCCUUUGCUGCUUUCAUUUUGGGGCAUCCUACUGUGUGUGAAGGGCAAAUCAGGGGCGGUACUCACUGAGCGUGGAGAGGAACAUGAUGAUGAAACCAAUGAACAUGGGAAUGUGGUAUCCUAUCCUGGAAUGAGAGAAAAGUAUGUCUGGUACAGCUAUGCCUAUGUGUACUGAAGUGUUUUGGUAUGAUGUUGAGCAUUAGUGAGGCUUAUUUUAUAAUGCAAGCUUGCAAACCAUUUGUAGGCUCUUAAAAAAGGCAGAAUUCAUUCCUAUUGUGGUGCUUGCACUCUCCUCUUUGCUAUUCUCUCACCGGAUCCCAUCAUUAUAUAACUGCAGAUCUUUGCCACUUGACUAGCAAGCAGUAGAUUGCAGACAUACCUGUUGGUCAGCAGCCCCACGCUGGGGUUGACCAGGAGCUGGACGAGAGCCUUGGAGGCAAAGAGCAGCCCCACACGCAUGUUCUCCUGCGUGAGGAAUUCCUCACCCUGUGGGCAGCCAUUGGGUGGUGGGGAGCUCAUGGGGAGAUGCUGUGAGUGCCUGGCGCUGGUCCCUUUCUGCAGCUCCACAGUGCUGUGGGAGUCCAAGGUUGUUAUGGUGCCGAUGUCAAAAUAGGAGGACAUGGGGGAGAAAGGAUCUUCGAUGGCUGAGGGAGGUGACUCAGAUUGAUGUGGGGCAGCAGAGCUGUUGGCACCUUCAUAUUCUGUUGUAUAAAGGAAGGUGGGGAUGAUAGGCACUGGGAAAAAAGCCAAGGAGAGUGUUCAUCAGUGGGUUUGCUUGAUUCUGUGGCUCAGCAUGCAUAUGAACUGGAUGGUGCUAUCUCAGUGUUGAUGCUUGGAAGCUCCUUCCCCCAUCCUUCCCCAUGGCUGUCCCCAUUGCUGUCUCACUGCCUGUCCCCGCUGCUCUUCCCUGGCAUGCCCCUACACCCAUCCCCACUCCUGUCCCCACACCCAUCCCCAAUCCUGUCCCCAUGCUUGUCCCCAGCACAGACCGCCAGCUGCCCGCAGCCAUCCCUGCAGUGCUCACCCUACCCACAACAGUCAGCAGCAUAUUGUCCAGCAGCAGUGCGACGAACACCACCACCAGCACCAGCCUCCGUGAUGCCCGGCCCUGUGCCAGCCAGCUCUGGGGCGUGGGGAUGGCUGCUGGGGGCAUUGCUGGGGCUUGGUCUCCUGGCUCCACUGUCAGGGCCAGCAAUGUCUUGCAACCUUGGGAGAAGAUGCUGUGGGUUAGCACCUCCCUCAGGUUCACGACUUAUCUCCUACAUGAGCUGGGUGCUGUUCUGAGAAGCAGAGAGUUCCAGCUUUGCUCUCAAAGACUCCACUUUCAUCCAGCUCACAUUUAAUGCUGCAGUCAGGAGACAGAGUGCUCCCCAGCCCUUUUACAUUCUCUUGAGACAUCUUGUACCCUGCUGCAAGCAUCAUCUCAGUAUUCCUUCAAAGACUCAAAGCAUAAAUCAAGCUGGUAGCUUAUCUGUGCUAAUCUCUACAUCUUGUAUUCCAUGUAUGUUCUUUGGAGAUUAAAUUGGGUCUCAAAGGAAAUUUACUCACUUUGCAUGUCUUUUCAUUUGACCUAAUAGAAAUGUCACAGCAAGAUGCGGGACUUAAAAGCCUAACAUACAGGAUUAAGGUUGGAACUUGUUCAGUCAUACUGAAAUAUCCAUCAGAAGUUUGUACCAACCCAACUGAUCAAUUAGCAUUUGGGUUCCUAUAGCUUGUGGCUGCUUUAGCAACAAAGCAGCAACAUGAGCAGAGCGGAGCCUGAGCUACAGCUGCCUCCAACACUCUUGGGAUUUCCUGAGAUCCCAGGCAGUGAUAUUUAUCAUUUCCUUCAUUAAGAAGAGAGCAAAGCCUCCAAACCCUUUAUCAUCUGAUCUGAGUGCCAUGCAAGUCACUACCUUGAAAAUGAAAUAUGGCUUCUCAUCGUACCUCCAAGUAACAGCAAGGACCAAAUAGAAUUAAUGCAAGAAAAUAGAUAUUUUUAUGUAUAAGUCACCAGGGAGAAAGAGUAAAGAAGCAAGGAAAAUAAAGACAAGUAGGCUGAAGCUGCCCUGAAUCUCAAGACUAAACUCCAUCCCUCUCAGUGCAAACCUGUAGCACAUAGCACAGCAACAAAACCCUUACCCCUGGACGCAUCCCAGUGUGCAGAGCUGACGACGGAGUGCUGGGAGCUGCUGCUACCAGGGAAUUUAUUGCAGCUCUUAUCAGGAGAGGGUAUGAGCAUCUGUCUUCCAUGGAGAUGUGGUUGCAGCCCUGCAGCUCCUCCUGCGUCAGAGCAGGAUGAGGAACGGGGGCUCAUUUCCGUGUGAGUCAGAAUUUGAUAGAAUCAUAGGAUUUGAUAGAAUCACCCUACAUCUAACCCUAACACUAACCCUAACCCUAAUCCUACCCUAACCCUAACCCUACCCUAACCUAAAGCUAACCCUAUCCCUAACCCUAACCUAACCCUAACCCUUGUUUGAGUUGGAGGGGACCUUUAAAGGCUAUCUGGUCCAACUCCCCUACAGUGAGCAGGGACACCCACAGCUCCAUCAGGUGCUCAGAGCCCCAUGCAGCCUGACCUUGGGUGUCUCCA